UUAAGUUCAGCGGGUAUUCCUACCUGAUCCGAGGUCAACAUUCAGAAGUUGGGGUUUUACGGCAUGGCCGCGCCGCGUUCCAGUUGCGAGGUGUUAGUUACUACGCAAUGGAGGCUGCAGCGAGACCGCCAAUGUAUUUCGGGGGCGGCGCCGCCAGAAGGCAGAGCCGAUCCCCAACACCAAACCCGGGGGCUUGAGGG
This 200-nucleotide unclassified non-coding RNA is filed under the name uncultured Fusarium. Its description in RNAcentral is "sequence contains ITS2". The record is from RNAcentral. Lineage: Eukaryota; Fungi; Ascomycota; Sordariomycetes; Hypocreales; Nectriaceae.